Long non-coding RNA from Hordeum vulgare subsp. vulgare (domesticated barley), 394 nucleotides. RefSeq lists it as uncharacterized. Lineage: Eukaryota; Viridiplantae; Streptophyta; Magnoliopsida; Poales; Poaceae. The record is from RefSeq and is a predicted model, not a curated record. The transcript is spliced from 3 exons.
CGUGCAUCCUCCGGCUCCGGCGAGGCUCCGAUCCACUACGCGGCUCUGCAGCUCGCUCGUGUAUGGAGGGGCUAGUCGUAAGGUGUUUGGCUGAAUGCGCAGCACAAGGAUGCGAAGCGGCACAAAUCCUCACCUGCCCGUCGAUUUGGUGCUAGCAGCGGCGCAAAUCCUCACCUGGCCGUCGAUCCGCCGCCGUUGUGAGGGUAGUGCACGAGGAGCAAAAUUCCAUGUUGGCAGGAGGAGAGCAGGGAAGAGCAAAAUCUCACCUUUCUUUUUCCGGCGGAGAUGAGGCGACGCCUUCAUAGUCCAGGUACUCCUCAUCAAGGGGGGAUGGUGGUCUCUGCUGUGCAGGGGAGGUUGGCCAGAAACAAGCCGCUGACCAAAUCUCUCUCUC